Molecule: ribosomal RNA, 591 nt
Filed under: uncultured marine bacterium
Lineage: Bacteria
Description: bacterial SSU rRNA
Rfam family: Bacterial small subunit ribosomal RNA
Source: RNAcentral
ACGAGAAAGUUCCUUCGGGAGCGAGUAGAGUGGCGCACGGGUGAGUAAUGAAUAGGAACGUACCUAUUGGUGGGGGAUAACUACGGGAAACUGUAGCUAAUACCGCGUAAUGUCGCAAGACCAAAGAAGGCCUCUGCUUGCAUGCUUUUGCCAAUAGAUCGGCCUAUUUCUCAUUAGCUUGUUGGUGGGGUAAUGGCCUACCAAGGCGACGAUGGGUAGCUGGUCUGAGAGGAUGAUCAGCCACACUGGAACUGAGACACGGUCCAGACUCCUACGGGAGGCAGCAGUGGGGAAUCUUGCACAAUGGGCGAAAGCCUGAUGCAGCAACGCCGCGUGAGUGAAGAAGGCCCUUGGGUUGUAAAGCUCUUUCGGCUAGGAAGAAGGGUCAUUUGGUUAACACCCAGAAGGCUUGACGGUACUAGAAGAAGAAGCACCGGCAAAUUUCGUGCCAGCAGCUGCGGUAAUACGGAAGGUGCAAGCGUUGUUCGGAAUGACUGGGCGUAAAGCGCGCGUAGGCGAGUUCGUAUGUCGGAUGUGAAAGCCCUGGGCUUAACCUGGGAACUGCAUUCGAAACUGCGAAUCUUGAAUGUU